GGGUCAGUAGGUUGGUCGUGCCACCGGUACGUACUGGUCUCACUGACUCCUCCCUCCUGAAGAACCGUAAUGCCAUUAAUUUGGUGUUGCGGGGAAACAGGACUGUUACUUUGAAAAAAUUAGAGUGUUUAAAGCAAGCUAACGCUUGAAUACAUUAGCAUGGAAUAAUGAAAUAGGACGAUCGAUCCUAUUUUGUUGGUUUCUAGGAUUGACGUA
Molecule: ribosomal RNA, 216 nt
Filed under: Glomeromycotina sp.
Lineage: Eukaryota; Fungi; Glomeromycota
Description: partial small subunit ribosomal RNA
Rfam family: Eukaryotic small subunit ribosomal RNA (bases 75-216)
Source: RNAcentral